GGGGAAUCUUCCGCAAUGGGCGAAAGCCUGACGGAGCAACGCCGCGUGAGUGAAGACGGCCUUCGGGUUGUAAAGCUCUUUUGUCCGGGACGCAAGACAGGUAUAGGAAAUGAUAUCUGAGUGACGGUACCGGAAGAAAAAGCCACGGCUAACUACGUGCCAGCAGCCGCGGUAAUACGUAGGUGGCAAGCGUUGUCCGGAAUUAUUGGGCGUAAAGCGCGCGCAGGCGGCCUUUUAAGUCCAUCUUAAAAGCGGGGGGCUCAACCCCAUGAUGGGAUGGAAACUGGGAGGCUGGAGUAUCGGAGAGGAAAGUGGCAUUCCUAGUGUAGCGGUGAAAUGCGUAGAGAUUAGGAAGAACACCGGUGGCGAAGGCGACUUUCUGGACGACAACUGACGCUGAGGCGCGAAAGCGUGGGGAGCAAAC
RNAcentral lists this ribosomal RNA (424 nucleotides) under uncultured bacterium. Its description in RNAcentral is "bacterial SSU rRNA". It matches the Rfam family "Bacterial small subunit ribosomal RNA", at positions 356 to 773 of the family's 1533-position model. The record is from RNAcentral.